Molecule: long non-coding RNA, 382 nt
Organism: Nilaparvata lugens (brown planthopper)
Lineage: Eukaryota; Metazoa; Arthropoda; Insecta; Hemiptera; Delphacidae
Exons: 2
Source: RefSeq, a predicted model, not a curated record
UCAAUGGGACCAGUUAUUAUUUUGAUAUAAAUACGGCUUCCUUGACGCUCAGCAAGACAGAAGCUUCUGAUACAAUCUUGCGAUUCCAUAAUAUUGGCAGAUCAAAAUGAAGAGCUCCAUGUCUCCCCUGAUUGUUGUCAUCAUUACUGCUGUCAUCUUCUGUAUCUUCAUAUGCAGUUCUAGCAGUGAUAAUAGCGGUUGGACUGCAGAUAGCGACUGGACGUCAACCAUUCAAUGAUGAAAGAUACACAAUUUGAGGAAAUAUGUUACAACUAUAUAAUAUGGGUUAUUAGAAAUAAGAAAUUCCACUCGGGAUGAAAAAUAAUUAUAUAAGAAAUAAGAAAUGGAAAUAAACAAUUACUAUUGGAAAUAAGAAAAAGAA